Molecule: ribosomal RNA, 1116 nt
Filed under: Osteochilus salsburyi
Lineage: Eukaryota; Metazoa; Chordata; Actinopteri; Cypriniformes; Cyprinidae
Description: partial 16S ribosomal RNA
Rfam family: Bacterial large subunit ribosomal RNA (bases 183-1097)
Source: RNAcentral
CAGCUAGCUUAUCCACCAACACAACUAAACAACAUAAAUGAAAUAAAAUUAACCACACACCAUAAAAUAAAUCAUUCUUUUACCUGAGUAUGGGAGACAGAAAAGGUUUAACCCAAAGCAAUAGAAACAGUACCGUAAGGGAAAGCUGAAAGAGAAAUGAAAUAACCUAUAUAAGCACUAAAAAACAAAGACUAAACCUUGUACCUUUUGCAUCAUGAUUUAGCUAGUAAAUACAAGCAAAGAGACCUUUAGUUUGAUACCCCGAAACCAAGUGAGCUACCCCGAGACAACUAUUAGAGCCAACCCGUCUCUGUGGCAAAAGAGUGGGAAGAACUCCGGGUAGAAGUGACAGACCUACCGAACUUGGUGAUAGCUGGUUACCUAGGAAACGAAUAGAAGUUCAGCCUCAUAUACCCUUAAACCAAAUAAUAUACCUCAAUUAAGAUAUUAAAGAUAUAUAUGAGAGUUAGUUAAAGGGGGUACAGCCCCUUUAACAAAGGAUACAACCUUAUUUAGAAGGAUAAAGAUCAUAGUACAUAAAAUAUACUGUUCUAGUGGGCCUAAAAGCAGCCAUCUAAACAGAAAGCGUUAAAGCUCAGACAGAAAUAAAUUUAUUAUUCCGAUAAAAUAUCUCAUUCCCCUAAAAACUACUAGGCUAAUCCAUGCCCACAUGGAAGAAAUCAUGCUAAAAUGAGUAACAAGAAGGACCACCCUUCUCCUAAGCAUAAGUGUAAACCAAACCGGACCAACCAUUGGUAAUCAACGAACUCAACUCAAGAGAGUAGUGUGACAUAUAAUAAAAUACAAGAAAAAUACACAACCAAUAAUCGUUAACCCCACACUGGAGUGCUAUCUUAAAGGAAAGACUAAAAGAAAAGGAAGGAACUCGGCAAAUACUAAGCUCGCCUGUUUACCAAAAACAUCGCCUCCUGGAACAACUAAAUAUAGGAGGUCCAGCCUGCCCAGUGACUACAAGUUCAACGGCCGCGGUAUUUUGACCGUGCAAAGGUAGCGCAAUCACUUGUCUUUUAAAUAGAGACCUGUAUGAAUGGCUAAACGAGGGCUUAACUGUCUCCCAUUUCCAGUCAGUGAAAUUGAUCUGCCCGUGCAGAAGCG